RNAcentral lists this ribosomal RNA (491 nucleotides) under uncultured bacterium. RNAcentral's name for it is "partial 16S ribosomal RNA". It matches the Rfam family "Bacterial small subunit ribosomal RNA", at positions 29 to 507 of the family's 1533-position model. The record is from RNAcentral.
AGUGAACGCUGGCGGUAGGCCUAACACAUGCAAGUCGAACGGCAGCACAGUAAGAGCUUGCUCUUACGGGUGGCGAGUGGCGGACGGGUGAGGAAUACAUCGGAAUCUACUUUUUCGUGGGGCUUAAGGAAGGGAACUUAAACUAAUUACGCAUACGACCUACGGGUGGAAGGAGGGGGACUUCUUACCCUUCUGGGGUUGAUUAGGCGGUGUCGGAUUAGCUAGGUGGCGGGGUAAAGGCCCACCAAGGCGACGAUUCGUAGCUGGGGUUAGAGGAUGAUCAGCCACACUGGAACUGAGACACGGUCCAGACUCCUACGGGAGGCAGCAGUGGGGAAUAUUGGACAAUGGGCGCAAGCCUGAUCCAGCCAUACCGCGUGGGUGAAGAAGGCCUCCGGGUUGUAAAGCCCUUUUGUUGGGAAAGAAAAGCAGCAGGUUAAUACCCCGCUGUUCUGACGGUACCCAAAGAAUAAGCACCGGCUAACUUCGUG